Molecule: ribosomal RNA, 402 nt
Filed under: uncultured bacterium
Lineage: Bacteria
Description: partial 16S ribosomal RNA
Rfam family: Archaeal small subunit ribosomal RNA
Source: RNAcentral
ACACCGGCAGCUCAAGUGGUAGCCGCUUUUAUUGGGCCUAAAGCGUCCGUAGCCGGUCUGAUAAGUCUCUGGUGAAAUCCCGCAGCUUAACUGUGGGAAUUGCUGGAGAUACUAUCAUGACUCGAGGUCGGGAGAGGCUGGAGGUACUCCCAGGGUAGGGGUGGAAUCCUGUAAUCCUGGGAGGACCACCUGUGGCGAAGGCGUCCAGCUGGAACGAACCUGACGGUGAGGGACGAAAGCCAGGGGCGCGAACCGGAUUAGAUACCCGGGUAGUCCUGGCCGUAAACGAUGUGGACUUGGUGUUGGGAUGGCUUCGAGCUGCCCCAGUGCCGAAGGGAAGCUGUUAAGUCCACCGCCUGGGAAGUACGGCCGCAAGGCUGAAACUUAAAUGAAUUGGCGGGG